This 368-nucleotide small RNA is filed under the name Arabidopsis thaliana (thale cress). RNAcentral describes it as "ATSL232480". Lineage: Eukaryota; Viridiplantae; Streptophyta; Magnoliopsida; Brassicales; Brassicaceae. The record is from RNAcentral.
AAACUAAAUUAGACUAAAUUACAUAUAAAUUUUAAAACUAAAUUAGACUAAGUUUUAAAACAGUACAAAAAAUUUAAUAGAUGUAAAACGCAAAAAAAAAAAAAGCGGUAUAUAAUUACGAUACUUAGGGCCUGUUUGUUUCUUCAUCCAGAUGGAUUAUUUAGAUGGAGAUGAAAAAUGAUGUUUGCUUUUGACAAUUUAAGAGACCAUUUGGAUGAAUCAGUUGGAUGAUCCAUCUCAAUGAUUUUUAAAAAUUAAGCAAAAUUAUGAAACUCAUUUGGAUAGACUUGAUAGGACCAUUUGAAUGGAGAUGGUUUACUCAAAAACAACAAAUGACAAAUAUACCCUCUUUUAAUAAUGUUAAUUUU